GGAAGUAGAAGUCGUAACAAGGUUUCCGUAGGUGAACCUGAGGAAGGAUCAUUAGUGAACGCCCUCACGGGCUUAUAACUAUUCCAAACCUCUGUGAACCGUGCCCUUCGGGGUUAUUUUACAAACAUGGUGUAAUGAACGUCAUAUAUCAUAACAAAACAAAACUUUCAACAACGGAUCUCUUGGCUCUC
This 191-nucleotide unclassified non-coding RNA is filed under the name plant metagenome. RNAcentral's name for it is "partial contains small subunit ribosomal RNA, internal transcribed spacer 1, and 5.8S ribosomal RNA". The stretch from base 1 to 54 matches the Rfam family "Eukaryotic small subunit ribosomal RNA", at positions 1778 to 1831 of the family's 1831-position model. The record is from RNAcentral.